Molecule: long non-coding RNA, 2087 nt
Organism: Gallus gallus (chicken)
Lineage: Eukaryota; Metazoa; Chordata; Aves; Galliformes; Phasianidae
Exons: 3
Source: RefSeq, a predicted model, not a curated record
GAUGAAAGCCAGAAAAGCCAGACAGUAAGACUGAGGAGCCCGCAGAUGAACACUGACACACAGCCGUUUGCUGGAAGCCCACACAAGAAUGGCAACACCAUAGAAGUCAUCUAUACUGAUGUGUCAGUGUGUUCAUAGAGAAGAACUGCUUGAAAACUAAUGAAACCUUUGCAUGGAUUUGGUUUCAAAAUUCUUCACUGUGAGGUAUUUCAAGGUUGUACUUAUUUUUACCUCAUUUUUUUUAAAUGUUAGAAUUUCAAAAUAUUUGUUCAGAACAAAAACAAUGGGAAAUAGUCUCUCUCUUAUAUGAAACUGUUAUUUCAGUGUUCCUGUGUAAAUCAGACAGCUAUCAUUAAAAGUUUUAUUAUACCUUAAAACUGAGCCAUUGAAAACAUACAAAAAAGCCCAUAAUCUUUACAAUCCAGGAUAGCAUCUUUAGAACAGCUGUCUGUGAUUACAUUUCUGUAACCACAAGUGUUAUUUAAAUAAUUAUUAAUUAUGGAUAUUAAGAACUUGAUGAAUUUUUGGUAGUUAAACUAAUUAAAAAUUGCUAACUCACCUGGGAUACUGAUUAAAAAUAUGAUUUCCAAGCUUUUGUAAAUUAGUUACCUUGAAAUUUGCAGUCAUCUGUAAUAAGAGAGGAAGCAUAACCUAGUGCUUUUGGCACUAGGUAACACGUUAUUGAGUACACUUUGCUGACAUAGCUUUCCUAAGUAAGUCUGAGCCAUUUAGGGUGAGAUCAAAAAGAAGCUAUCAAAGACUUAUGAGCUAGGUGUUGCAUCCAAAAUUCUAGAGCUGUAAAAGUCAACCACCAGCUCUUCAAACUGUCUCUGUCUUCCAAUACUGAGGAGCAAAAUGAAUUUCUCAUACCUGACUGAGCUCCAGAAUCAAAGCUUUCAACCUGUAGCAUCUUUUACAGGAUAGUUAUAGACAGUGUCCAAUGUGCGUGUAGUGGACAUAGUGUUCCACUAAAUUUGUUAGUGGCAUAAACAUGUUUUCUAACCUGCAGCUGAUGUGAAAUUCUAUCUGAAGUUCCUAUCUGUGAUAGCCUGAAGGUUGAAGCACUUGCAGCACUGAAGAAGUGGUAAGUGGUAACAGAAAAAAAUUCUCAGGGCCGGAUAUUUCCAGUUAGGUAUUCAGAUCUACCAUUAUGAAACCUAGCUUUUAGACAAAGAGAAAACUACAGCACUGGUCUCCUGCCUGACCUAAUUUCCUCUCCUUUUUAAAAAAAUCCAAAUAUAUUUACAUUUAGUAAUGCAGUUUUUAGUCAAAAUCUUUCUUAUAUCUCUGUGUUAAUAUAUAUUAUAAAUUAUAUACAAAACAUACAUGUAAAUAUAGUUAUAUAAUUAUACAUAGUUAAAUAUAUAUUUAAGCUGUUCAUUCAUUCCAUUCCCUCACUUACAAUAUCUUUACACUGGUUUGUUAAAAGAACCAGUAAAAUAGGACAACAUUUGCCCUUUAUGUACUUUGAUUUCAAAUAACUUAAAUGCAGUGCCUUUGAGCCACCUUGGACAGGUGACCUUUCAGGGCUGAUAGUUCAGAAUUAAAGUUGCAUCCUAUUCCAUAAAUAGAGGCUUUUUGACAACACAGAUUAAGCACAUAAUUUGCAGAUGACUUUCUACUGAAGAAACAGAGUACAGCUUUCUUGGGAAGGCAAAGCGGAUGAGUAAAUGAAAUUGAAAAACAGUCUAAGUACAACAUAGUUGAGAUAUUACUGAAAGAUGAGACUGGCCUUACUUUAAUAAUUUUUCCUGGUACGUGGCCUAUCCAUAUUAUUUUACGGGUACUAUUAUGUGAUUCUGUAUUUUCUACAUGCACAGUCUUAACGGUACACAAAUUUUCUCAUAUUGUUUUGAAAUGAUACACAAUUAAUUACAUGGUAUAUUGUUGAAAAAAAUAGUUAGAAAAGAAAUAAUUGAAGGUAAGAUAUCAGAGAUGAAAUAUAAACCAAAUUGACACUUGUAAUUGAUCUUCAAUGAAACUAAAACAUUCUUUUAUAGAAAUAUCAGUUGCAAGAAUCUGAGAAGAAUCAUCAUAUAAAUGUGCAUGAAACAGCAAAGUUUGGGGAAAAAAUACAGCACUAUUUG